GAUGAAGAACGCAGCGAAAUGCGAUAAGUAAUGUGAAUUGCAGAAUUCAGUGAAUCAUCGAAUCUUUGAACGCACAUUGCGCCCCCUGGUAUUCCGGGGGGCAUGCCUGUCCGAGCGUCAUUACAACCCUCAAGCUCAGCUUGGUGUUGGGCCCCGCCGCCCCGGCGGGCCCUAAAGUCAGUGGCGGUGCCGUCCGGCUCCGAGCGUAGUAAUUCUUCUCGCUCUGGAGGUCCGGUCGUGUGCUCGCCAGCAACCCCCAAUUUUUUUCAGGUUGACCUCGGAUCAGGUAGGGAUACCCGCUGAACUGAAGCAUAUCAAUAAGCGGAGGA
RNAcentral lists this unclassified non-coding RNA (329 nucleotides) under soil metagenome. RNAcentral's name for it is "partial contains 5.8S ribosomal RNA, internal transcribed spacer 2, and large subunit ribosomal RNA". The stretch from base 1 to 120 matches the Rfam family "5.8S ribosomal RNA", at positions 35 to 154 of the family's 154-position model. The record is from RNAcentral.